GCGGUGAAGGCAGGUCAUGCGCUCCUCACGCUCCACGAACGGAACCUGCGCACGGAGGCGGUAGCGCGGGGUGGCAGCCGGCAAUGAGGCGGCCGCGCUACGUGACGAGCUACGGGUCCCCCUUUGUGAUGUUUUGGCAUCGCUCCUUCAUCGCACAUCCUCAGGCGAUGGCGGUGGUGUCGCUGAUGGCGGCGAGGACAGCAUGUGGCAGCUCCCGAAGCAUGAACACGACCGCACCUCGGGCCUGCCGUCUGCCAAGAUAUGGCUCUGGCCGAUUGACAAUGGAGGUUUGGGAUCCUUCCUCUCAGCACCCACUCCUGGAAGAAUCAGCGGUGCGCCACGCCGAUUGAACCCCGUCGAGAUCACUCGCCAAGAUUGCUAUUCUGAAGUUUAUUGUAAAGAAAGUGAAGAGUGAGACAGGAUCCGUUUAUUUUCAACCGGUUUAUUUUCAACCGGUUUAUUUCCAUCAAAUUACCCCCACCCCCACGCCCACCCACCGAAACGCGCCCAGCGAACCGGGGAGAGAUCCAUUGAUUUGGCUAAGGUAGGAAAGAAUCUAUUAUUUGUUUGCUAAAGCAAAUUGCAUUAAUGGGAGAGAUCCGUUGAUUUGGCUAAGGUAGGAAAGAAUCUAUUAUUUGUUUGCUAAAGCAAA
Molecule: long non-coding RNA, 652 nt
Organism: Triticum aestivum (bread wheat)
Lineage: Eukaryota; Viridiplantae; Streptophyta; Magnoliopsida; Poales; Poaceae
Exons: 3
Source: RefSeq, a predicted model, not a curated record